Molecule: RNase P RNA, 421 nt
Filed under: Verrucomicrobiota bacterium
Lineage: Bacteria; Pseudomonadati; Verrucomicrobiota
Description: Verrucomicrobia bacterium (anaerobic digester metagenome) RNase P RNA component class A
Rfam family: Bacterial RNase P class A
About the family: Ribonuclease P (RNase P) is a ubiquitous endoribonuclease, found in archaea, bacteria and eukarya as well as chloroplasts and mitochondria. Its best characterised activity is the generation of mature 5'-ends of tRNAs by cleaving the 5'-leader elements of precursor-tRNAs.
Source: RNAcentral
CCAGGGGAGCGGAGGCUCGCUGCGGGCGCAAGCCCGCGGAGGAAAGUCCGAACUCCUCAGGGCGCGAUGCCGCGUAACUCCGCCAGUGGUGGAGAUACACGCGGGAGGCAACACCGCGAGGUGUCCCGACGGACAGUGCCACAGAAAACAAACCGCCAGAGUGCGACGACGACCGCAAGGCCGCGCGGCGCGCGACGGCAAGGGUGAAAAGGUGGGGUAAGAGCCCACCGCUCCAAGCGCAAGCGCGGAGGCACGGAAAACCCCAUCGGGAGCAAGGUCAAAUAGGGGAUCGAAGGCGCGGCCCGCGCCGCGUCUCGUCUCGACGAGACAGGUCCCGGGUAAGACCGCUCAGAUAAAUGAGCCUCUCCGCCAGCCCUCGGGCCGGCGCAGACAGAAUUCGGCUUACAGCUCCCCUGGAACC